GCCGACCCCUCGUGCGGCGUCACCUUGCCGAACUCCCCCAGGGCCGGAAGGCAGCAAGGGUAGGUGAGCUCUGGCGGGUGCACGGGGGGUCCUUGCG
This 97-nucleotide signal recognition particle RNA is filed under the name Georgenia sp. TF02-10. RNAcentral's name for it is "signal recognition particle sRNA small type". It matches the Rfam family "Bacterial small signal recognition particle RNA". Rfam says of the family: The signal recognition particle (SRP) is a universally conserved ribonucleoprotein involved in the co-translational targeting of proteins to membranes. The record is from RNAcentral. Lineage: Bacteria; Bacillati; Actinomycetota; Actinomycetes; Allobogoriellales; Allobogoriellaceae.